AGGACGCCACAGAGGGUGAGAGCCCCGUACGGUCGGACGCCUAGCCUAUACAAAGCUCCUUCGACGAGUCGAGUAGUUUGGGAAUGCUGCUCAAAAUGGGAGGUAAAUUUCUUCUAAAGCUAAAUACCGGCCAGAGACCGAUAGCGCACAAGUAGAGUGAUCGAAGAGAUGAAAAGCACUUUGAAAAGAGGGUUAAACAGUACGUGAAAUUGUUGAAAGGGAAGCGCCUGCGACCAGACUUGCGCCCCGCAGACCAUCUGGCGUUCUCGCCGGUGCACUCUGCGGGGUGCAGGCCAGCAUCGGUUUUCCCAGGGGGACAAAGGCCGCAGGAACGUAGCUCCCUCGGGAGUGUUAUAGCCUGCGGCGCCAUGCCCCUGGGGGGACCGAGGACCGCGCCUCCGGGAAAGGAUGCUGGCAUAAUGGUCGCCAGCGACCCGUCUUGAAACACGGACCAAGGAGUCAAGCAUUGGGGCGAGUGUUUGGGUGCCAAACCCGCACGCGAAAUGAAAGUAAACGUAGGUGAGAGCUUCGGCGCAUCACCGACCGAUCCUGAUGUCUUCGGAUGGAUUUGAGUAAGAGCCUUACCGCUUGGACCCGAAAGAUGGUGCACUAUGCCUGUAUA
RNAcentral lists this ribosomal RNA (622 nucleotides) under Hawksworthiomyces sp. RNAcentral describes it as "partial large subunit ribosomal RNA". It matches the Rfam family "Eukaryotic large subunit ribosomal RNA", at positions 197 to 843 of the family's 3401-position model. Lineage: Eukaryota; Fungi; Ascomycota; Sordariomycetes; Ophiostomatales; Ophiostomataceae. The record is from RNAcentral.